RNAcentral lists this ribosomal RNA (926 nucleotides) under Pilidium acerinum. Its description in RNAcentral is "LSU rRNA". It matches the Rfam family "Eukaryotic large subunit ribosomal RNA", at positions 31 to 981 of the family's 3401-position model. The record is from RNAcentral. Lineage: Eukaryota; Fungi; Ascomycota; Leotiomycetes; Chaetomellales; Chaetomellaceae.
GAGCUAAGCAUAUCAAUAAGCGGAGGAAAAGAAACCAACAGGGAUUGCCUCAGUAACGGCGAGUGAAGCGGCAACAGCUCAAAUUUGAAACCUGCCAACAGGCCGGAUUGUAAUUUGUAGAGGAUGCUUUGGGGUAGGCACUGAUCUAAGUUUCUUGGAACAGUACGUCACAGAGGGUGAGAAUCCCGUUCGUGGUCGGUUGCCUGCUCCGUGUAAAGCUCCUUCGACGAGUCGAGUUGUUUGGGAAUGCAGCUCAAAAUGGGUGGUAAAUUUCAUCUAAAGCUAAAUAUUGGCCAGAGACCGAUAGCGCACAAGUAGAGUGAUCGAAAGAUGAAAAGCACUUUGGAAAGAGAGUUAAACAGCACGUGAAAUUGUUGAAAGGGAAGCGCUUGCAAUCAGACUUGCGCGUAGGUAAUCAAGGGCGGUUCGCUGCCCUGCACUUGCCUGCGCUCAGGCCAGCAUCAGUUCUGGGGGUGGGAGAAAGGCCGUUGGAAUGUGGCUCUUCGGAGUGUUAUAGCCUUCGGUGCCAUGCUGCCUCCCGGGACUGAGGACCGCGCUUCGGCUAGGAUGCUGGCGUAAUGAUUGUAAGCGACCCGUCUUGAAACACGGACCAAGGAGUCUAACAUCUAUGCGAGUGUUUGGGUGUCAAACCCACACGCGGAAUGAAAGUGAACGGAGGUGAGAACCCUUGAGGGUGCAUCAUCGACCGAUCCUGAUGUCUUCGGAUGGAUUUGAGUAUGAGCAUAGCUGUUGGGACCCGAAAGAUGGUGAACUAUGCCUGAAUAGGGUGAAGCCAGAGGAAACUCUGGUGGAGGCUCGCAGCGGUUCUGACGUGCAAAUCGAUCGUCAAAUUUGGGCAUAGGGGCGAAAGACUAAUCGAACCAUCUAGUAGCUGGUUUCCUGCCGAAGUCCCCCCCUCAAGGAAA